CGCCUCCUGAAUACCCCUUAUAGGAGGUCCCGCCUGCCCUGUGAUAUAUAUUUAACGGCCGCGGUAUUUUGACCGUGCAAAGGUAGCGCAAUCACUUGUCUUUUAAAUGGAGACCUGUAUGAAUGGCAUAACGAGGGCUUAACUGUCUCCCUCCCCUAGUCAAUGAAAUUGAUCUUUCCGUGCAGAAGCGGGAAUGAGUCCAUAAGACGAGAAGACCCUGUGGAGCUUUAGACAAUAAAUAGCUCCUGUAAAGAACCCUCACUAAACGAGCUAAAACAAACGAAUGACUAUUUUGCUGUCUUUGGUUGGGGCGACCGCGGGGUAACAAAAAACCCCCAUGUGGAACAAGAACACCCUUCUUUAAACCAAGAGCACCUCCUCGAAGUAACAGAACAUCUGACCUAAUAUGACCCGGCCUUGCCGAUCAACGGAACCAGUUACCCCAGGGAUAACAGCGCAAUCCUCUCCCAGAGCCCAUAUCGACGAGGGGGUUUACGACCUCGAUGUUGGAUCAGGACAUCCUAAUGGUGCAGCCGCUAUUAAGGGUUCGUUUGUUCAACGAUUAAAGUCCU
RNAcentral lists this ribosomal RNA (572 nucleotides) under Parablennius zvonimiri. Its description in RNAcentral is "partial 16S ribosomal RNA". It matches the Rfam family "Bacterial large subunit ribosomal RNA", at positions 1819 to 2597 of the family's 2925-position model. Lineage: Eukaryota; Metazoa; Chordata; Actinopteri; Blenniiformes; Blenniidae. The record is from RNAcentral.